CCACCUGCACAAGCAGGUAUCGCAGCGUGAAUACAUAGCGUUGCGAGGCGAACCGGGGGAACUGAAACAUCUAAGUACCCCGAGGAACAGAAAUCAACCGAGAUUCCGGCAGUAGCGGCGAGCGAAACCGGAUUAGCCCUUAAGCUAGAUUGGCGUUAGACGAACAGGCUGGAAAGCCUGGCAAGAAAGGGUGAUAGCCCCGUAGUCGACAGCGCCUUUACAGUGAAAUCGAGUAGGACGGGACACGUGAUAUCCUGUCUGAACAUGGGGGGACCAUCCUCCAAGGCUAAAUACUCCUGACUGACCGAUAGUGAACCAGUACCGUGAGGGAAAGGCGAAAAGAACCCCUGUGAGGGGAGUGAAAUAGAA
RNAcentral lists this ribosomal RNA (369 nucleotides) under Photobacterium alginatilyticum. RNAcentral's name for it is "partial 23S ribosomal RNA". It matches the Rfam family "Bacterial large subunit ribosomal RNA", at positions 128 to 548 of the family's 2925-position model. The record is from RNAcentral. Lineage: Bacteria; Pseudomonadati; Pseudomonadota; Gammaproteobacteria; Vibrionales; Vibrionaceae.